RNAcentral lists this long non-coding RNA (810 nucleotides) under Homo sapiens (human). RNAcentral describes it as "HSALNT0276934". Lineage: Eukaryota; Metazoa; Chordata; Mammalia; Primates; Hominidae. The record is from RNAcentral.
GAGACGAAGUCUCACUCUGUCACCCACACUGGAGUGCAAUGGCGCGAUCUUGGCUCACUGCAACCUCCACCUCCUGGAUUCAAGUGAUUCUCUUUCCUCAGCUUCCUGAGUAGCUGGGAUUACAAGCACCAGCCACCAUGUCCAGCUAAUUUUUUUUUUUAGUAGAGAUGGAGUUUCACCAUGUUGGCCAGACAUGGUGGUGCAUGCCUGUAAUCCCACCUACUCAGGAGGCUGAGACAGGAGAAUCGCUUGAACCUGAGAGGUGGAGGUUGCAGUGAGCUGAGAUUGUGCCACAGCACUCCAGCCUGGGCGACAGAGCAAGACACAUCUCAAAAAAAAAAAAAAUGAGGAGGAUUUAUUCUACCAGCUGUCAAAUUAUAUUAUAAAGCUACAGUAAUUAGGCACAGGAAUUGAUAAAAUGUCAGUGAAGACGAGUAUUCAAAAUCAGAGUAAAUGCUAUUGAGAAAAUCAGAUACACUUUUAGAAAACAUAAAAAUUAGAUGCCUUUCUCACAACUUGCAGAAAAACAAAUUCCAGAAGGAUACAAUUAAAAGCAUACUUGUCAACUGGGCACGGUGACUCAUCCCUGUAAUCUCAGCACUUUGAGAGGCCAAGGUAGUGGGAUCACUUGAGCCCAGGACUUUGAGACCAGCCUGGGCAACAUAGCACGACCUCGUCUUUAAAAAAAUUUUUUUUUUUUAAUCAGCCAGGCAUGGUGGCAUGUGCCUGUAGUCCCAGCUACUCAGGAGGUUGGGGUGAGAGGAUCACUUGGGCCUAGGAGGUCAAGGCUACAGUGAGCUGUGAUCAUGC